Molecule: ribosomal RNA, 501 nt
Filed under: uncultured bacterium
Lineage: Bacteria
Description: bacterial SSU rRNA
Rfam family: Bacterial small subunit ribosomal RNA
Source: RNAcentral
AACGAACGCUGGCGGCGCGCCUAAUACAUGCAAGUCGAGCGAGAAGGUGUAGCAAUACACUUGUAAAGCGGCGAACGGGUGAGGAAUGCAUGGGUAACCUACCCUCGAGUGGGGAAUAACUAGCCGAAAGGUUAGCUAAUACCGCAUACGUUUCCGGAACUUCGGUUUCGGAAAGAAAGCAAUACCGUGGGUAUUGCGCUCCUGGAUGGGCUCAUGUCCUAUCAGCUUGUUGGUGAGGUAACGGCUCACCAAGGCUUCGACGGGUAGCUGGUCUGAGAGGACGAUCAGCCACACUGGCACUGCGACACGGGCCAGACUCCUACGGGAGGCAGCAGUAAGGAAUAUUGCGCAAUGGACGAAAGUCUGACGCAGCGACGCCGCGUGGGGGAUGAAGGUCUUCGGAUUGUAAACCCCUUUCGGGAGGGAAGAUGGAGUGGGUAACCACUUGGACGGUACCUCCAGAAGCAGCCACGGCUAACUUCGUGCCAGCAGCCGCGGUAA